This is a non-coding RNA of Thaumarchaeota archaeon 13_1_20CM_2_39_20, 73 nucleotides long. The record is from Rfam. Lineage: Archaea; Thermoproteati; Nitrososphaerota.
GGAUCGGUAGUCUAGUUGGCAGGAUGACGCACUCACACUGCGUAGGUCAAGGGUUCAAAUCCCUUCCGAUCCA